Molecule: ribosomal RNA, 253 nt
Filed under: uncultured bacterium
Lineage: Bacteria
Description: partial 16S ribosomal RNA
Rfam family: Bacterial small subunit ribosomal RNA
Source: RNAcentral
GACGGAGGGUGCUAGCGUUGUUCGGAAUUACUGGGCGUAAAGGGCGCUUAGGCGGCCUGGUCAGUCGGGUGUGAAAGCCCGGGGCUCAACCCCGGAACGGCACCCGAGACGGUCAGGCUGGAGACCGGGAGAGGAGGGUGGAAUAGCCAGUGUAGAGGUGAAAUUCGUAGAUAUUGGCUGGAACACCGGUGGCGAAAGUGGCUCUCGGGCCCGGUUUUGACGUUGAGGCGCGAAAGCGUGGGGAGCAAACAGG